Molecule: ribosomal RNA, 253 nt
Filed under: uncultured bacterium
Lineage: Bacteria
Description: partial 16S ribosomal RNA
Rfam family: Bacterial small subunit ribosomal RNA
Source: RNAcentral
UACAUGGGGUGCAAACGUUGCUCGGAAUUAUUGGGCGUAAAGCGCGCGUAGGCGGUUACUCAAGUCGGAUGUGAAAGCCCUCGGCUUAACUGAGGAAGUGCACCCGAAACUGAGUAGCUAGAGUACUAAAGAGGGUCGCGGAAUUCCCGGUGUAGAGGUGAAAUUCGUAGAUAUCGGGAGGAACACCGGUGGCGAAGGCGGCGACCUGGGUAGAUACUGACGCUGAGGCGCGAAAUCGUGGGGAGCAAACAGG